GAAAUGCGAUACGUAAUGCGAAUUGCAGAAUUCAGUGAAUCAUCAAAUCUUUGAACGCAAAUUGCGCUUUCUGGAUAGGCCAGGGAGCAUGCCUCUUUGAGCAUCGUUUCUAACCCAUCUCGGCAGCUUUGCUGCUGGAUAAUGAGAUGUCUCAUUUGAAAAAAUGAGUCUCUUUAAGAAGCGUGAGUGUUCCUAAACUCCUAGUGUCCGAUCAUGAUGAUUCUAUCACUAGUGACAUGGAUAAACUUUUUAUUUUAUGUCAUUGGAGGUGGAGUGUGUAGUGAUCAUUAAGGCAUAUGGUAACUUGGUUUACUCGUAUAGAAAAAACAAAUUUUUUUUUGAAUUUGAUCUCAAAUGAAGCAAGAUUACCCGCUGAACUUAA
Molecule: unclassified non-coding RNA, 382 nt
Filed under: uncultured fungus
Lineage: Eukaryota; Fungi
Description: sequence contains ITS1
Rfam family: 5.8S ribosomal RNA (bases 1-106)
Source: RNAcentral